Phycodurus eques (leafy seadragon) is the source of this 234-nucleotide long non-coding RNA. RefSeq lists it as uncharacterized. NCBI's taxonomy places the organism in Eukaryota, Metazoa, Chordata, Actinopteri, Syngnathiformes, Syngnathidae. The record is from RefSeq and is a predicted model, not a curated record. The transcript is spliced from 3 exons.
CAGAUUCAUUUUCAAUUUACAGCCAGAGAGUCGAGAAAUUGUUUUCAUAUUUCGCUGAGGCUUCUCCUACAGUCGAAGAAUCAUCUCAAGAUGUUUGAGGUUUUGUGGCCCCACCAACCGCGUCACAAGCACUGGACUUGAUCAACAGCAAAUCACAGCAGGAUAUGCUCUCGGGUGGCCACUUGGCCAUGGGCCUGACCCCUGGCUACGCCCGAGACAAACCGCUUCCAGAAG